This is a long non-coding RNA of Megalobrama amblycephala (Wuchang bream), 496 nucleotides long. RefSeq lists it as uncharacterized. The record is from RefSeq and is a predicted model, not a curated record. The transcript has 4 exons. NCBI's taxonomy places the organism in Eukaryota, Metazoa, Chordata, Actinopteri, Cypriniformes, Xenocyprididae.
CGCAGAGGAGGACCAGAGCAAUAUUGUGUAUCAAAAGCUGCGGUGAUGUUUUUAGUAGAAGUGACGAAAAUGAAACCUCUAAUUAUUUUGCCCUUUUUGCUCUUGUGUUCAGUCAAUCAUGGAGAAGUGGAGAAAAAAGUGGAAAAAGAGGAGCUUCUGCUUAGUUUGUCCUUAUUGCUCUGGUAUUUAAUCAAUCAAGAACUAUAUGGCCUAACUGUUCAACCUCAUUUUGAUUACAAGUUUGAACAGAACUAUCUACAAUCUCAGGGAUGUUUUAUUUUAGACAUUCGUGCCCACACAGCAGGGGACUCCUAGGCGGAUCCGCAUUCAAGUCGCCAAAUCCGCGUGACUGUCACCAGAGGUGAACUUGAUGCUGAAACAACUGAAAUACAAUCAGUGUCAGUGAUGGAGGGAGAUUCUGUCACUUUACACACCAGUGUUACUAAAAUACGUGAAGACGAUGACAUACUGUGGAAAUUUGGAGCUGAAAACUCUC